UAGUGAAGGCCAGGCUGAAGACUUUGCCGGAUUAGCUGAGAGGUGGUGCAUGGCCGUCGUCAGUUCGUACUGUGAAGCAUCCUGUUAAGUCAGGCAACGAGCGAGACCCACGCCCACAGUUGCCAGCGUACUCUCUGGAGUGACGGGUACACUGUGGGACCGCCGCUGCUAAAGCGGAGGAAGGAAUGGGCAACGGUAGGUCAGUAUGCCCCGAAUAUCCCGGGCUACACGCGAGCUACAAUGGUUGGUACAAUGGGUAUCUACCCCGAAAGGGGACGGGAAUCUCCUAAAACCAAUCUUAGUUCGGAUUGAGGGCUGCAACUCGCCCUCAUGAAGCUGGAAUCCGUAGUAAUCGCGUUUCAACAGAACGCGGUGAAUACGUCCCUGCUCCUU
RNAcentral lists this ribosomal RNA (393 nucleotides) under uncultured Methanosaeta sp. RNAcentral's name for it is "bacterial SSU rRNA". It matches the Rfam family "Archaeal small subunit ribosomal RNA", at positions 945 to 1338 of the family's 1478-position model. The record is from RNAcentral. Lineage: Archaea; Methanobacteriati; Methanobacteriota; Methanomicrobia; Methanotrichales; Methanotrichaceae.